GAUGAACGCUGGCGGCGUGCCUAAUACAUGCAAGUCGAGCGAACGGACGAGAAGCUUGCUCCUCUGACGUUAGCGGCGGACGGGUGAGUAACACGUGGAUAACCUACCUAUAAGACUGGGAUAACUUCGGGAAACCGGAGCUAAUACCGGAUAAUAUAUUGAACCGCAUGGUUCAAUAGUGAAAGACGGUUUUGCUGUCACUUAUAGAUGGAUCCGCGCUGCAUUAGCUAGUUGGUAAGGUAACGGCUUACCAAGGCAACGAUGCGUAGCCGACCUGAGAGGGUGAUCGGCCACACUGGAACUGAGACACGGUCCAGACUCCUACGGGAGGCAGCAGUAGGGAAUCUUCCGCAAUGGGCGAAAGCCUGACGGAGCAACGCCGCGUGAGUGAUGAAGGUCUUCGGAUCGUAAAACUCUGUUAUUAGGGAAGAACAUAUGUGUAAGUAACUAUGCACGUCUUGACGGUACCUAAUCAGAAAGCCACGGCUAACUACGUG
This 497-nucleotide ribosomal RNA is filed under the name uncultured bacterium. RNAcentral describes it as "partial 16S ribosomal RNA". It matches the Rfam family "Bacterial small subunit ribosomal RNA", at positions 28 to 507 of the family's 1533-position model. The record is from RNAcentral.